RNAcentral lists this ribosomal RNA (396 nucleotides) under Pseudomonas corrugata. RNAcentral's name for it is "bacterial SSU rRNA". It matches the Rfam family "Bacterial small subunit ribosomal RNA", at positions 998 to 1387 of the family's 1533-position model. The record is from RNAcentral. Lineage: Bacteria; Pseudomonadati; Pseudomonadota; Gammaproteobacteria; Pseudomonadales; Pseudomonadaceae.
UUCCAGUACAUGGAUUNGUAGCUUCGGGAACAUUGAGACACNGUGCUGCUUGGCUGUCGUCAGCUCGUGUCGUGAGAUGUUGGGUUAAGUCCCGUAACGAGCGNNAACCCUUGUCCUUAGUUACCAGCACGUUAUGGUGGGCACUCUAAGGAGACUGCCGGUGACAAACCGGAGGAAGGUGGGGAUGACGUCAAGUCAUCAUGGCCCUUACGGCCUGGGCUACACACGUGCUACAAUGGUCGGUACAGAGGGUUGCCAAGCCGCGAGGUGGAGCUAAUCCCACAAAACCGAUCGUAGGUCCGGAUCGCAGUCUGCAACUCGACUGCGUGAAGUCGGAAUCGCUAGUAAUCGCGAAUCAGAAUGUCGCGGUGAAUACGUUCCCGGGUCUUGUACACC